GAUGAACGCUGGCGGCGUGCCUAAUACAUGCAAGUCGAGCGAACAGACGAGGAGCUUGCUCCUCUGACGUUAGCGGCGGGCGGGUGAGUAACACGUGGAUAACCUACCUAUAAGACUGGGAUAACUUCGGGAAACCGGAGCUAAUACCGGAUAAUAUAUUGAACCGCAUGGUUCAAUAGUGAAAGACGGUUUUGCUGUCACUUAUAGAUGGAUCCGCGCCGCAUUAGCUAGUUGGUAAGGUAACGGCUUACCAAGGCAACGAUGCGUAGCCGACCUGAGAGGGUGAUCGGCCACACUGGAACUGAGACACGGUCCAGACUCCUACGGGAGGCAGCAGUAGGGAAUCUUCCGCAAAGGGCGAAAGCUUGACGGAGCAACGCCGCGUGAGUGAUGAAGGUCUUCGGAUCGUAAAACUCUGUUAUUAGGGAAGAACAAAUGUGUAAGUAACUAUGCACGUCUUGACGGUACCUAAUCAGAAAGCCACGGCUAACUACGUG
This 497-nucleotide ribosomal RNA is filed under the name uncultured bacterium. RNAcentral's name for it is "partial 16S ribosomal RNA". It matches the Rfam family "Bacterial small subunit ribosomal RNA", at positions 28 to 507 of the family's 1533-position model. The record is from RNAcentral.